RNAcentral lists this long non-coding RNA (264 nucleotides) under Prunus persica (peach). Its description in RNAcentral is "long non-coding RNA (PPER_LNC006007)". Lineage: Eukaryota; Viridiplantae; Streptophyta; Magnoliopsida; Rosales; Rosaceae. The record is from RNAcentral.
ACUUGCCAUGCUUGGCUUAUAUUUUGCGUGUGCUACAUUCUUGACCCCGUUUUUGAUUGUUGUUGAACUAUAUGCAUCACGAGCAUAUGCUUGUAACCGCAUGAUUAAUACAUAAGAUUAGAGGCUGUUGAAAGCUUGAGGAAAGCACCAUUGGUUUCUUUUUUUGAGCUUAGAGCUUGGACAUGGAUAACUAUUUAUUUUUUUGGCUUUAUAGGGAUAGAUAUAAACAUGUGAAUGAUGGGUCUGCAAGAAUGCCGUAUAACU